AUGCGAUACUUGGUGUGAAUUGCAGAAUCCCGUGAACCAUCGAGUCUUUGAACGCAAGUUGCGCCCGAAGCCAUUAGGCCAAGGGCACGCCUGCCUGGGUGUCACCAA
RNAcentral lists this ribosomal RNA (108 nucleotides) under Nissolia latisiliqua. RNAcentral's name for it is "Chaetocalyx latisiliqua partial 5.8S ribosomal RNA". It matches the Rfam family "5.8S ribosomal RNA", at positions 53 to 154 of the family's 154-position model. From Rfam's summary of the family: 5.8S ribosomal RNA (5.8S rRNA) is a component of the large subunit of the eukaryotic ribosome. Lineage: Eukaryota; Viridiplantae; Streptophyta; Magnoliopsida; Fabales; Fabaceae. The record is from RNAcentral.